RNAcentral lists this ribosomal RNA (253 nucleotides) under uncultured bacterium. RNAcentral describes it as "partial 16S ribosomal RNA". It matches the Rfam family "Bacterial small subunit ribosomal RNA", at positions 524 to 776 of the family's 1533-position model. The record is from RNAcentral.
UACGUAGGGUGCAAGCGUUGUCCGGAAUUAUUGGGCGUAAGGAGCUCGUAGGCGGUCUGUCGCGUCGGCUGUGAAAACCCGGGGCUCAACCCCGGGCCUGCAGUCGAUACGGGCAGACUAGAGUGCGGUAGGGGAGACUGGAAUUCCUGGUGUAGCGGUGAAAUGCGCAGAUAUCAGGAGGAACACCGGUGGCGAAGGCGGGUCUCUGGGCCGUAACUGACGCUGAGGAGCGAAAGCGUGGGGAGCGAACAGG